This 492-nucleotide ribosomal RNA is filed under the name uncultured bacterium. RNAcentral's name for it is "partial 16S ribosomal RNA". It matches the Rfam family "Bacterial small subunit ribosomal RNA", at positions 29 to 507 of the family's 1533-position model. The record is from RNAcentral.
AGUGAACGCUGGCGGUAGGCCUAACACAUGCAAGUCGAACGGCAGCACAGUAAGAGCUUGCUCUUACGGGUGGCGAGUGGCGGACGGGUGAGGAAUACAUCGGAAUCUACUUUUUCGUGGGGGAUAACGUAGGGAAACUUACGCUAAUACCGCAUACGACCUACGGGUGAAAGCAGGGGAUCUUCGGACCUUGCGCGAUUGAAUGAGCCGAUGUCGGAUUAGCUAGUUGGCGGGGUAAAGGCCCACCAAGGCGACGAUCCGUAGCUGGUCUGAGAGGAUGAUCAGCCACACUGGAACUGAGACACGGUCCAGACUCCUACGGGAGGCAGCAGUGGGGAAUAUUGGACAAUGGGCGCAAGCCUGAUCCAGCCAUGCCGCGUGAGUGAAGAAGGCCUUCGGGUUGUAAAGCCCUUUUAUUAGGAAAGAAAAGCAGCAGGUUAAUACCCCGCUGUUCUGACGGUACCUAAAGAAUAAGCACCGGCUAACUUCGUG